UAUCUGGGAGUAGGCUGACAAUGCCGUCCUGAUGUGGGUUGAAAAUAUAAGAGAGGAUACUGAUCUCUAAUGUGUAUCCAACAAUCUGUUUCUCUGUAAACUUAGAGCUUAUCAAUAUCUGCAGACUUAUUCACUUUUGAGGGGCAUUUAGACCCAAAAUAACUAAAAAAAAUAAAUCAAAAUAAAGUUACAUU
Molecule: long non-coding RNA, 194 nt
Organism: Sphaeramia orbicularis (orbiculate cardinalfish)
Lineage: Eukaryota; Metazoa; Chordata; Actinopteri; Kurtiformes; Apogonidae
Exons: 2
Source: RefSeq, a predicted model, not a curated record